AAAUUUCUGGUUUAUUUUCUUGAUGUUACCUACAAAAUCCAUUUUAACAGGAGCAAAAACAGUUGGUCCCAACUUGUCCAGAACGGGCACAAUUGCAUAACAUGACUCCAGAAACUCUUCUGUUGGUAUUCCCUCUUCCUCCUGAAGUUCAAUAUCACUGAACCUAUUGCUCAUGACACUGAAGAAAGUAGGAAACCCAUUUUCAUUUUCAUCUUCA
This 217-nucleotide long non-coding RNA is filed under the name Gallus gallus (chicken). The record is from RNAcentral. Lineage: Eukaryota; Metazoa; Chordata; Aves; Galliformes; Phasianidae.